GAGUUUCGCUAGGGGUUCCGCGUAGAUCGCGGAUGAGAGAGUCCCUCAGCACCUGAUCCGGUUCACACCGGCGUAGGGAAGCGAAGCCGCCUCGCA
RNAcentral lists this non-coding RNA (96 nucleotides) under Amantichitinum ursilacus. RNAcentral's name for it is "TPP sequence". It matches the Rfam family "TPP riboswitch aptamer (THI element)". From Rfam's summary of the family: Vitamin B(1) in its active form thiamin pyrophosphate (TPP) is an essential coenzyme that is synthesised by coupling of pyrimidine and thiazole moieties in bacteria. The record is from Rfam by way of RNAcentral. Lineage: Bacteria; Pseudomonadati; Pseudomonadota; Betaproteobacteria; Neisseriales; Chitinibacteraceae.